This is a small nuclear RNA of Echinops telfairi (small Madagascar hedgehog), 105 nucleotides long. Lineage: Eukaryota; Metazoa; Chordata; Mammalia; Afrosoricida; Tenrecidae. The record is from Ensembl.
AUGCUUGCUUCAGCAGCAUAUAUUCUAAAAGUGGAGUGCUAGAGAAGAUAAGCGUGGCUCCUGAACCAAGACGACAUGCAAAUAUCUGAAGCAUUCCAAGUGUAC